UUGAGCCGGAUGCAUGGAAAUCGUGCACGUCCGGUUCUAAGGGGGCGGCGGCGCAGCAAUGCGCCGCCGCUACCCGGC
Micromonospora narathiwatensis is the source of this 78-nucleotide non-coding RNA. The record is from Rfam. NCBI's taxonomy places the organism in Bacteria, Bacillati, Actinomycetota, Actinomycetes, Micromonosporales, Micromonosporaceae.